This 500-nucleotide ribosomal RNA is filed under the name uncultured bacterium. RNAcentral describes it as "partial 16S ribosomal RNA". It matches the Rfam family "Bacterial small subunit ribosomal RNA", at positions 30 to 523 of the family's 1533-position model. The record is from RNAcentral.
AUUGAACGCUGGCGGCAUGCCUUACACAUGCAAGUCGAACGGCAGCACGGGAGCAAUCCUGGUGGCGAGUGGCGAACGGGUGAGUAAAGUAUCGGAACGUGCCUAGUCGUGGGGGAUAACGUAGCGAAAGUUACGCUAAUACCGCAUACGAUCUAUGGAUGAAAGCGGGGGAUCGCAAGACCUCGCGCGAUUGGAGCGGCCGAUAUCAGAUUAGGUCGUUGGUGGGGUAAAGGCGCACCAAGCCGACGAUCUGUAGCUGGUCUGAGCGGACGGGCGGCCACACUGGGGAUGAGACACUGCCCAGACUACUACGGGAGGCAGCAGUGUGUAAUUUGUGACAAUGGGCGAAAGCCUGUUCCAGCCAUGCCGCGUGCAGGAUGAGGGCCUUCGGGUUGUAAACUUCUUUUUUACGGGACGAAAAGGUUUGGCCUAAUAAGCUGAGCUCAUUACGUUACCGUAAGAAUAAGCACCGGCUAACUACGUUCCAGCCGCCGCCGUAA